UAAUUUGGAUAUUGGUGUUUCCUGCAACUCAAUGCAAAUCACCAGCAUUCUAAAUCUAUGGUAAGCAUUGAAAAUAAAAGCAAGAAUAAUCAAACGGAGGCUUGAUAUUUGGACAAGUAGAAAAUAUACAAUCAAAUAAUUAGCGACUUUUUAAAUAAUUGUGAUUAAAUUUACUUAAUUGUACAGACUAAUUAUUAUUAGAGAGGAAUCAUUUGUUCAUAUAGUGGAAUUGAUUUCUUAUGCGUUGAAGUUUAGUCCCCCCUUGGGCAUAGAAUAUGCAUAUGAAAAAUAAGUUUUAAGGUGCAAGAUAAUUUUUUUCCCUACAUGCUUUAGUUAUCAUAUUUGGUGUUAUCCAUUGUUAUUUUUAAUUGUUAAAGGAUAUGGCUCCUGAUAAGAGUUGGAUGGGAAUUGAGAAUAGAAAGGACCUAGAUAUAUUCAUGGAGUUGAAGGUUUUCUGACAUAUGCAUUUAGGCAUGAAUCAAAAGAAGAUGCGAUUUCAUGUCCUUGCUUAAAAUGUAGAAAUGUCAAUUACAAGCAGAAAUUUGAAGUUAGGUACCAUUUGUUAAAGCAUGGAAUUCUCAAAUCUUAUACCAUUUGGUAUUUCCAUGGAG
Molecule: unclassified non-coding RNA, 611 nt
Filed under: Hevea brasiliensis (rubber tree)
Lineage: Eukaryota; Viridiplantae; Streptophyta; Magnoliopsida; Malpighiales; Euphorbiaceae
Source: RNAcentral